Molecule: RNA transcript, 1907 nt
Organism: Lipotes vexillifer (Yangtze River dolphin)
Lineage: Eukaryota; Metazoa; Chordata; Mammalia; Artiodactyla; Lipotidae
Gene name: heterogeneous nuclear ribonucleoprotein H pseudogene
Exons: 1
Source: RefSeq, a predicted model, not a curated record
AUGAUGUUGGGCACCGAAGGUGGCGAGAGGGAUUCGUGGUGAAGGUCUGGGGCUUGCCUUGGUCUUGCUCGGCCGAAAAAGUACAGCGGUUUUUCUCUGACUGCAAAAUUCAAAAUGGGGCUCAAGGUGUUCGUUUCAUCUACACCAGAGAAGGCAGACCGAGUGGUGAGGCUUUUGUUGAACUUGAAUCAGAAGAUGAAGUCAAAUUGGCCCUGAAAAAUUUUAGACAGAGAAACUAUGGGACACAGAUAUGUUGAAAUAUCCAAGUCAAACAACGUUGAAAUGGAUUGGGUGUCGAAGCAUACUGGUCCAAAUAGUCCUGACACGGCCAAUGAUGGCUUUGUAUGGCUUAGAGGACUCCCCUUUGGAUGUAGCAAGGAAGAAAUUGUUCAGUUCUUCUCAGGGUUGGAAAUCAUGCCAAAUGGGAUAACAUUGCUGGUGGACUUCCAGGGGAGGAGUAUGGGGGAGGCCUUCAUGCAGUUUGCUUCACAGGAAAUAGCUGAAAAGGCUCCAAAGAAACACAAGGAAAGAAUAGGGCACAGGUAUAUCGAAAUCUUUAAGAGCAGUCGAGCUGAAGUUAGACUCACUAUGAUCCACCACGAAAACUUAUGGCCAUGCAGCGACCAGGUCCCUAUGACAGACCUGGGGCUGGCAGAGGGUAUAACAGCAUUGGAAGAGGAGCUGGCUUUGAAAGGAUGAGGCGUGGUGCUUACAGUGGAGGUUAUGGAGGCUAUGAUGAUUAUAAUGACUAUAAGGAUGGCUAUGGAUUUGGGUCAGAUGGAUUUGGAAGAGACCUCAAUUAUUGUUUUUCAGGAAUAUCAGAUCACAGAUACGAGGAUGGUGGCUCUACUUUCCAGAGCACAACAGGACACUGUGUACACAGGUGGGGAUUACCUUACAGAGCUACUGAGAAUGACAUUUAUAAAUUUUUUUCACCACUCAACCCUGUGAGAGUACAUAUUGAAACUGGUCCCGAUGGCAGAGUAACUGGUGAAGCAGAUGUCGAGUUUGCAACUCAUGAAGAUGCUGUGGCAGCUAUGGCAAAAGACAAAGCAAAAAUGCAACACAGAUAUGUAGAACUCUUCUUGAAUCCUACAGCAGGAGCAAGCGGUGGUGCUUACGGUUGCCAAAUGCUAGGAGGCAUGGGUUUGUCAAACCAGUCCAGUUAUGGCGGCCCAGCCAGCCAGCAGCUGAGUGGUGGUUAUGGAGGCAGCUAUGGUGGCCAGAGCAGCAUGAGUGGAUAUGACCAAGUUUUACAGGAAAACUCCAGUGAUUUUCAAUCAAACGUUGCAUAGGCAGCCAAGGAACAGUGAACAGCUACUACAAUAGUGGAAGCCAAGCAUCUAUGGGAGUGAACGGAAUGGGAGGGAUGUCUAGCGUGUCCAGUAUGAGUGGUGAAUGGGGAAUGUAAUUGAUCCUGAUCACUGACUCUUGGUCAACAAUUUUUAAAAGAAAAACAGAACUUAAGUUUUAACAGUUUUGCAACACAAACUUGUGGUUUAUGCUUACUCUAAGUGGAAAUCAGGAUUGUUUUAAAGACUUAAGUUUCAGUAUUUUUGAACACAUACAUUCAUUUAGGAUGUAACUAGGUUGAGUAAUCUGUUACUGUUAAAUAAUUUUCAGCUUUUCUCAAGUUAGUUAUAUUGUAGGAUGUACUUAAGCAGUAGGUGUAUUUAGGUUAAAGCGGUUGAAUUAUGUUAAAUGUUGCUUACACCACAUUACAUUGAGCACUGUUUGGACGCAUUGUUGAAAGACAUGCUUUUUUGUGAAACUCAAUAUAGGAGCUGUGUCUACAAUUAAAAGUGAAACAUUUGGCAUGUUUGUUAAUUUUAGUUUCAUUUAAUAACCUCUAUGGCACGUAAGUUUAAGCUUUAUUUUAAGUUAAUGGGGAAAAUUUGAGACGCAAU